This 250-nucleotide ribosomal RNA is filed under the name uncultured bacterium. RNAcentral's name for it is "partial 16S ribosomal RNA". It matches the Rfam family "Bacterial small subunit ribosomal RNA", at positions 524 to 773 of the family's 1533-position model. The record is from RNAcentral.
GACGUAGGGAGCAAGCGUUGUCCGGAAUUACUGGGCGUAAAGAGCUCGUAGGCGGGUUCGUAAGUCUUAGAGUAAAUCUCACGGCUCAACCGUGGGGCCUUCUGAGAUACUGCGAAUCUUGAGGAUGUCAGAGGAAAGUAGAAUUCCCGGUGUAGCGGUGAAAUGCGUAGAUAUCGGGAGGAAUACCAGUGGCGAAGGCGACUUUCUGGGACAUUCCUGACGCUGAGGAGCGAAAGCGUGGGGAGCAAAC